Molecule: long non-coding RNA, 464 nt
Organism: Megalobrama amblycephala (Wuchang bream)
Lineage: Eukaryota; Metazoa; Chordata; Actinopteri; Cypriniformes; Xenocyprididae
Exons: 4
Source: RefSeq, a predicted model, not a curated record
UGAGUGAGUUUUGAAGGAUCUUAGAUUCAUUGUCUUCCCUUCCGAAGGUGUUUUUGCCUUGUAUUGGCUCGUGUUACAAAUGAAUGCUUACUGGAAGAUUGUUACAACUGAAAACCUCGACGCACAAAGGUGCUCGCAUCAAAAAGAUCAACUCAUGAACUCACCAGAGACUGAGAUGGAGAAUCUGUCCGCACAGUAAAACACAAAACAAAAUAAGACUGAAAACUAAUUUGUGCAGCAGGAGGUUUGGUGACAUUCUGUUACAAAUAACUUGCUUUUUUGUGGCUGUAUUUAAGUUUUGUAUAAUCAAACAUUCAGAUUGAUGUACAGCUCAUGUAAAUGUGGCAUAUUUGAAUAUUUAAUAGUUAUAUAUAAGGGAGCUGAACACGUGUUUCGUAAAUGUUUAUAUGACUUUUACAUCAGUAGCAGUAGAACAAUAUUCUCUUAGUACAAUAUUAGUGCAA